RNAcentral lists this small nuclear RNA (141 nucleotides) under Anas platyrhynchos (mallard). RNAcentral describes it as "U4 spliceosomal RNA". It matches the Rfam family "U4 spliceosomal RNA". From Rfam's summary of the family: U4 small nuclear RNA (U4 snRNA) is a component of the major U2-dependent spliceosome. The structure of U4 snRNA from yeast and human has been reported. Lineage: Eukaryota; Metazoa; Chordata; Aves; Anseriformes; Anatidae. The record is from Rfam by way of RNAcentral.
UCCCUUGCCCCGCAGCAGUAUCGUAGCCAAUGAGGUUAAUCCGAGGCGCGAUUAUUGCUAAUUGAAAACUUUUCCCAAUACCCCGCCAUGACGACUUGAAAUAUAGUCGGCAUUGGCAAUUUUUGAGAGCCUCUCCGGAGG